This 454-nucleotide ribosomal RNA is filed under the name uncultured bacterium. RNAcentral's name for it is "bacterial SSU rRNA". It matches the Rfam family "Bacterial small subunit ribosomal RNA", at positions 350 to 796 of the family's 1533-position model. The record is from RNAcentral.
AGCAGUUGGGAAUCUUCCGCAAUGGACGAAAGUCUGACGGAGCAACGCCGCGUGAGUGAUGAAGGUUUCCGGAUUGUAAAACUCUGUUGUCAGGGAAGAACAAGUACCGGAGUAACUGCCGGUACCUUGACGGUACCUGACCAGAAAGCCACGGCUAACUACGUGCCAGCAGCCGCGGUAAUACGUAGGUGGCAAGCGUUGUCCGGAAUUAUUGGGCGUAAAGCGCGCGCAGGCGGUUCCUUAAGUCUGAUGUGAAAGCCCCCGGCUCAACCGGGGAGGGUCAUUGGAAACUGGGGAACUUGAGUGCAGAAGAGAAGAGUGGAAUUCCACGUGUAGCGGUGAAAUGCGUAGAGAUGUGGAGGAACACCAGUGGCGAAGGCGACUCUUUGGUCUGUAACUGACGCUGAGGCGCGAAAGCGUGGGGAGCAAACAGGAUUAGAUACCCUAGUAGUCC